GUGAAACAACGCUGGACGUCCUAAUGCUCUGCGUGAGGACAUUCAGUAUCUGAGAAAACCCUGUAGGAAGGCAUUGGAGCAAUGCUUUCCUAUGGGUAAAGUCUAAUGCUCGCACACAUGGUCAAUAGGUCCACCUAGUGGAGGCACAACUCCACUUAAAAAGGACUUUGGCUCUGGAAUUGGGUAAAUUAAUAAAGGGUUAUUCAACCCUUUACAUCGUGGGGAAGUCGCAUGGGCAGUGAAACACAUUAGGAAUAUAUCUUUGUAUUCCCAACACUAAAGCAAAGUGUUCCUUUAAUGUGUGGGGAGAAACUUAUUAAUAACCCUGAAAUUGUGUAACUUUACAUAGUUUUUUUUUUUUUUUUAAUGUAUCCUUAAGCACUGUUCUCAAAGUUGCAGUUUAUCCCACUGUGCAUGGUCGCAAUAUUUCAAAUAAAUGCAUUUUUGUUUUUCGAACUAAAGGAAUGCAGUAGGGAAGGAGUUAAACCAGUUUCACUUAAAAUAAUCAUUGCACAGUGGGUUCAAUUUAUUUUACUUUUUGUAGGCUGGAAAGUUUAACGGUUUUAAAGCCAUCUUUAGCAGAACCAGGACAUACACAUCCCAGUCUGAGAUUAUUGGGAGUCACACUCCCAAGCUGCAAUGUCUGAAACAAACUUUUAUUUUUAAAUUGCACACAAUAUACAUUAAAACCAAGAUGUCUUAAGAUGGUCACAUUGUAGGUUAAGACCAAAUGUGACCGUUUAUAAAAUAUCUCCAAAAGAUAGCAUGAUUUUCCAUAAUGUGCACUAUGCUGUGUGUUUGUAUAUUUUAGGUUUGUGAGCUAGGGUUGAAGUUAGUAUUGGUUGUAGUGUAGGUAUUAAGGAGAGUUUUUAAACACACAUUGUCCACUGCUGUCUGAUACUAGAGGGAAUUUGUUUUGGUUUGUAAACACGACAAAUUAAAAUGGCAGCUGACGUGCAUCAACCACUAAUUUUAAGCAGACAAUGACAUGUAUGUCAAGACGGAGUACCCAAACUACGGAGGUAAUCCGUGUAUUGUUCCAGUGUAUCAUACAAUAAAAAAACCUGCACAGAUGAGGUCACCAUCUGGCAAUAUAGUAUUAGAAAACAUAAUCUGCUUGUUGGUACAGGCUAAUCCUUCCCAAUUAUGAAAAUAUGCUGGCUUCAACACAAACCUGCCAUCUUCACACUGUCCCUCCAUUCACAUCUUCCACCAGCACACACAGUGACCGAACAGGAAAACUGCCAUUAGGAAGGUUCUCCUGCCCCCCACCGUCAAUCAAUACUCGUCACACACACACAUCUAAGCUGAGAGUUGAUCAACAGCUUUCAUACUUAACCUCUUCAGGACGGAGUCAAUAGUUUACGUUCUGAUCAAAACAAAACAAACUGGAAUUUGCACCGUAAUUCCCCACUGUCACAUUAAGUGCACCCACACUUCUUAUAUAUCAUUUUGUUCAGGAGAAACAGGGCUUUAAUUUAUCAUUAACUAUUCAUAUAUGGAACAUAAUUUAUUAUUAAUAAAAUGUAAAAGAAUUUGAGAAAAUAAGAUUUUGUUUAAAUUUAUAUUUCCGUCUGACAUUUUAGCUGUGAAUCACCCUGGUGGCAGAUCCACAGCUAGCUAUAGGGGGCCAUGUGAUUGCUCUUUGAGAGCGAUCACAUGGCCCCCGGGGGCUUCUUUUGCCGUGGGAGGGCUGCCUGGGCUGUCAGGCAGUGCUCCCGAAGAGCAUCGCGGUUAGGUGAGUAUCCCGGACGCUCUGGGGGCUGCAGCCGUUACAGCGUUCUAUGCUGCCACAACGGCUUUAAAGCCCAUUUAAAUGGGGACGGCAUAGAACGCUGUAACAGCGUUAAGGGGUUAAAGUAUCACUAUAGUGUUAAAAACACCAUCUAUGCCCCUCUGCACUCCCUAAAUAUUGUAUAACCAUACCUUUACUCCAGUCUUCUGCUGCUGGCUCUGCAUCUGAUCUGCCUGCUUGACUGACAUUAUCAGAAGGGUUGUUCUGAGCCAAUCACAAUGUUUUCUCAUAGGAAAGCAUUGGAUUGAUGGAGACGUUCAAGAAGACCAAUCAGAGGCAGAGCCAGCACAAGCCAAACACAGCAGAUAAGAACCGUUCAGCCCAUCUAUUCUGCCCAAUUUUCUAAAUACUUUCAUUAGUCCCUGGCCUUAUAUUAAGGCUAGGAUAGCCUUAUGCCUAUGCCAUGAAUGCUUAAACUAUCUCACCGUGUUAAGGCUAUUUCAUGCAUCCACUACCCUCUCUGUAAAGUAAUAAUUUUUAAACCUUUGCCCCUCUAAUUUAAUUUAUGUUCCCUUUGUUGUGGUAGUUUUUCUUCUUUUAAAUAUAGUUGAUUCCCUUUAAAUGUUUCUAUCCUAUCCCUCCUGUCUUGUCUUAGAAACAUAGAAUGUGACGGCAGAUAAGAACCAUUCGGCCCAUCUAGUCUGCCCAAUUUUCUAAAUACUUUCAUUAGUCCCUAGCCUUAUCUUAUAGUUAGGAUAGCCUUAUGCCUAUCCCACGCAUGCUUAAACUCCUUUACUGUGGUAACCUCUACCACUUCAGCUGGAAGGCUAUUCCAUGCAUCCACUACCCUCUCAGUAAAGUAAUACUUCCUGAUAUUAUUUUUAAACCUUUGUCCCUCUAA
Pelobates cultripes (western spadefoot toad) is the source of this 2636-nucleotide non-coding RNA. NCBI's taxonomy places the organism in Eukaryota, Metazoa, Chordata, Amphibia, Anura, Pelobatidae. The record is from the annotation of a GenBank genome assembly.